RNAcentral lists this ribosomal RNA (597 nucleotides) under Neorickettsia risticii (Potomac horse fever agent). RNAcentral's name for it is "bacterial SSU rRNA". It matches the Rfam family "Bacterial small subunit ribosomal RNA", at positions 1 to 633 of the family's 1533-position model. The record is from RNAcentral. Lineage: Bacteria; Pseudomonadati; Pseudomonadota; Alphaproteobacteria; Rickettsiales; Anaplasmataceae.
AUUUGAGAGUUUGAUCCUGGCUCAGAACGAACGCUAGCGGUAGGCUUAACACAUGCAAGUCGAACGGAAUCAGGGCUGCUUGCAGCCUUGGUCCCGUGGCAGACGGGUGCGUAACGCGUGGGAACUUGCCUGGUAGUAGGGAAUAACCAGUGGAAACAUUGGGCAACACCCUAUACGCCCUGAGGGGGAAAAUUUAUUGCUAUCAGAUAGGCCCGCGUUAGAUUAGCUAGUUGGUGGGGUAAUGGCCUACCAAGGCGACGAUCUAUAGCUGGUCUGAGAGGAUGAUCAGCCACACUGGAACUGAGACACGGUCCAGACUCCUACGGGAGGCAGCAGUGAGGAAUAUUGGACAAUGGGCGAAAGCCUGAUCCAGCCAUACCGCAUGAGUGAUGAAGGCCCUUGGGUUGUAAAGCUCUUUUAGUGGGGAAGAUAAUGACGGUACCCACAGAAGAAGUCCCGGCUAACUCCGUGCCAGCAGCCGCGGUAAUACGGAGGGGGCUAGCGUUGUUCGGAAUUACUGGGCGUAAAGGGUGCGUAGGCGGUCCCGUAAGUUAGGUGUGAAAUCCUUGGGCUUAACCCAAGAACUGCAUUUAAAAC